UGUUCUCCUUUUUGCAUGGUGAUUUUCAGGCAAAAAUGAAGAGAUUUCAGACAGAGACUAUGAGAAGUUCAAAAAGGAGACGACUGACAGAGGGAUUCCGGAAGAAAAUAUUGUGAAUUUCACUGACAAUGAUGACUGUCCAGAGGAGUGAAUAAAAUUGAGUUCAACAGUUUUAGUCACUGAGACCAGUCACAUCCCCUUCUGCAUGGAACCAAGAUCAACGACGCAAAGAUGACUUUCCUGCUUCCUGAUUAACAGGAUCCUUUUCUCUUCACAUACACACUUUCUUUCCCGUCUCAUUUCUCCUGAUCACUGGUCAUGUGCUGUCUGGUGGUAUUUGGUUUCAGAAGGCUUAAAUAAAUUGAUUUAAUAUCUGCCCUGCAAA
Molecule: non-coding RNA, 385 nt
Organism: Odocoileus virginianus texanus
Lineage: Eukaryota; Metazoa; Chordata; Mammalia; Artiodactyla; Cervidae
Source: RefSeq, a predicted model, not a curated record